Schistocerca piceifrons (Central American locust) is the source of this 1341-nucleotide long non-coding RNA. RefSeq lists it as uncharacterized. Lineage: Eukaryota; Metazoa; Arthropoda; Insecta; Orthoptera; Acrididae. The record is from RefSeq and is a predicted model, not a curated record. The transcript has 2 exons.
CCAAGCUGAGCUCUGAGACGAGUGAAAGAAACAAAAAAAAAUCCAACAUAAAUGAGAGGACGCUGAUCAUAUCAGAGACAUCUGAUUCUGCAAAUAUGUUCAGAGAGCUGAAGAAUGGAGUUAAGUUAGUCUGAUGACAUAAAAAAUGAACGUGCUUUCGUUGUUUGUUUUGUAAACGAUACUGUAAGGUGCUUCGUUGUUAAUGUUACACAAAAUGCAUGUAAAAGGAUCGUAGGCUACCUCGCGUUUUAAAAUUGACGCAAGAAAGAACUUUGGGUUGCUUUGUUAAGUUAUGCAUCAGUGAUGUGAGAAACAACAAGAAAGAGCAUAAAGAAACAAUUAUAAACGACCGCGUGACAGUGUCAUAAUGGUGAUGUUUUGAGACUUUGUAUUUAAACAAACAUGUGAAGGUUGCCUUAUACACUGUUUCUGGUUUUCGACUGGUUCCAACAGAGAAAUUGCAUGUAUGCAGGCCAUGUGGAAGAGUAUACAAGCAGAGAUACACACUGAACAGGCAUCUGCGAUAUGAAUGUGGAUUUUCGAAGAAACAGUUCCAUUGUCCAAUUUGCCAGAAACAAUUUAAUCGUCCAGAAUGCGCCCGUGCUCAUCACUACAAAUACCAUUUCUCUCACCAUUAAGAGCUUAUCCUAAAGUGCAUGUGCUUUUUUUAGAAGUAUUUUCUCCUUCUUUCACAUGGCGUUACAUUUGUGUCAUAUUGUGUCUGUAUUGUGUGUGUGUGUGUGUGUGUGUGUGUGUGUGUGUGUGUGUGUGUGUGUGUGUGUGGGGGGGGGGGGGGGUGUAAUAAUUUGAAAGGAAGGUACUUAGACUUAACUCAAAAUUUCAUAAUGAGACAAAAAACUUUGUAUUUGGUGUGAUGCAGGUUUCAGACUGGAGCCACCAGAGGAGAUCCAUGAAUGUAAAAUGUGUGGCAGAGUGUACAAGAAACGCUACACCCUCAACAGGCACAUACGAUAUGAAUGUGGAUUUUCCAGGAGACAGUUCCACUGUCCAGUUUGUGGCAAACAGUUCAAUCGUCCUGAUCACUAUCGUACACAUUUGGUGGUUCAUGAAGUAAAGCCAUUUAAUGGAACGAGGUUAAAAACACCAUUUAUAUUGUAAAGAUACUUAAUCAUGUACUGAGAGUUUAAGUUUACAUUUUUAUUAUGUAUAAAAAUCAGUGGUAACAAAUUGAAAUGCUGAUGAAAGCAUAUAGUGUUUUUAUGUUUAACAGGAAAAAAAUACUUGUAAGAUAGUAAGUGUUGUAACUAUUGUUAGUAUUUGGCUUUUAUAAACAUUGUGCCUUAUUUUAUCAGGCUUUAAAAUAAAAAAUACUGAAAUAUG